UACAGAGGGUGCAAGCGUUGUUCGGAAUUAUUGGGCGUAAAGCGCGUGUAGGCGGCUUGGCAAGUCGGGUGUGAAAGCCCUUAGCUCAACUGAGGAAGUGCGCCCGAAACUGCUGAGCUCGAGUGCCGGAGAGGAUGGCGGAAUUCCCCAAGUAGAGGUGAAAUUCGUAGAUAUCAGGAGGAACACCGGUGGCGAAGGCGGCUACCUGGACAGAAACUGACGCUGAGGCGCGAAAGCUAGGGGAGCAAACAGG
This 253-nucleotide ribosomal RNA is filed under the name uncultured bacterium. Its description in RNAcentral is "partial 16S ribosomal RNA". It matches the Rfam family "Bacterial small subunit ribosomal RNA", at positions 524 to 776 of the family's 1533-position model. The record is from RNAcentral.